This 253-nucleotide ribosomal RNA is filed under the name uncultured bacterium. RNAcentral describes it as "partial 16S ribosomal RNA". It matches the Rfam family "Bacterial small subunit ribosomal RNA", at positions 524 to 776 of the family's 1533-position model. The record is from RNAcentral.
UACGUAGGGGGCAAGCGUUGUCCGGAUUUAUUGGGCGUAAAGAGCUCGUAGGCGGCCGUCCACGUCGGAUGUGAAAGCUCAGGGCUCAACUCUGAGAGGCCAUUCGAUACGGGACGGCUAGAGGCAGGUAGGGGAAAGUGGAAUUCCUGGUGUAGCGGUGAAAUGCGCAGAUAUCAGGAGGAACACCGGUGGCGAAGGCGGCUUUCUGGGCCUUGCCUGACGCUGAGGCGCGAAAGCCAGGGGAGCAAACGGG